Molecule: ribosomal RNA, 422 nt
Filed under: uncultured bacterium
Lineage: Bacteria
Description: bacterial SSU rRNA
Rfam family: Bacterial small subunit ribosomal RNA
Source: RNAcentral
CGCGUGGAGGAUGAAGGUUUUCGGAUCGUAACUCCUGUUAAGUGGGAAGAAAAGCCGUAGUUUAAUAAACUGCGGACAUGACUGUACCAUUAAAGAAAGCACCGGCUAACCUCGUGCCAGCAGCCGCGGUAAUACGAGGGGUGCAAGCGUUAUUCGGAAUCAUUGGGCGUAAAGGGUGCGUAGACGGCAUAUUAAGUCAAUUGUUAAAUCUCCCGGCCUAACCGGGAAUAUGCGAUAGAUACUGAUUUGCUAGAGGAUGGAAGAGAGAAGCGGAAUUCUCGGAGUAGCGGUAAAAUGCGUAGAUCUCGAGAGGAACACCGAUGGCGAAGGCAGCUUCUUGGUCCAUUCCUGACGNUGAAGUACGAAAAGCGUGGGGAGCAAACAGGAUUAGAUACCUGGUAGUCCACGCUGUAACGAUGAUC